RNAcentral lists this ribosomal RNA (418 nucleotides) under uncultured prokaryote. Its description in RNAcentral is "bacterial SSU rRNA". It matches the Rfam family "Archaeal small subunit ribosomal RNA", at positions 455 to 873 of the family's 1478-position model. The record is from RNAcentral.
GUGCCAGCCGCCGCGGUAAUACCAGCACCCCGAGUGGUCGGGAUGAUUAUUGGGCCUAAAGCAUCCGUAGCCGGUGUAACAAGUCCUCCGUUAAAUCCACCUGCUUAACAGGUGGGCUGCGGAGGAUACUGUUACACUAGGAGGCGGGAGAGGCGAGGGGUAUUCCACGGGUAGGGGUAAAAUCCUCUGAUCCGUGGAGGACCACCAGUGGCGAAGGCGCCUCGCCAGAACGCGCUCGACGGUGAGGGAUGAAAGCUGGGGGAGCAAACCGGAUUAGAUACCCGGGUAGUCCCAGCCGUAAACGAUGUAGGCUCGGUGAUGGACUGGCUCCGAGCCAGUCCAGUGCCGCAGGGAAGCCGUUAAGCCUACCGCCUGGGGAGUACGGCCGCAAGGCUGAAACUCAAAUGAAUUGACGGGG